This is a long non-coding RNA of Varroa destructor (honeybee mite), 1603 nucleotides long. NCBI's taxonomy places the organism in Eukaryota, Metazoa, Arthropoda, Arachnida, Mesostigmata, Varroidae. The record is from RefSeq and is a predicted model, not a curated record.
UGUUGUCUUUUUUCUUUCGCGGAGCGUCCUGCUUCUGCUGUUCUAAAGCUGCCCUUGAUCUCUAUAUUGGAUCAGUCUCGAAUUCUGCUCAAACUUCAGUUAUGUUAGGAAAAAUCAACGAGCUCUUAACCGAUUAACAAGUAAACAAAAUGAUAAAUGAUGCCAAAUUCGUGUUGUUUGGUGUGUCAUUUCAAGCACCGUUGAUUCACCUACGUGUUCAACCACUAUCAGCCUUUAUCUUGCAUUUGGAAUCUACUCUAACGGACCUGUCGACCCGCUAACCAGCCAUCUUUGUCACUCUUCACAAUAGCGCCGAUUUCCAUGACCGACUGAACGAAUCGUAGAGAGCAAUGGCGGAAUCCCGAAAUGCCCGUGUGCGACCGUGAACGACGACGUAACAUGUAGGGCGCUUCUAAAGAUUGCGUUGGGGACAUUUUGAGACGGUGCUUGAUUUUACAGUGAUUGAACGACUGACUUCGUUCAAUUUCGAUUGAGCUUUUCGCUAUUCUUGUUGGCCCUCUGCAGUGUUUAAGUUCACUCGUCUCUGCGCCAACUUCGAUACGGUCGUUAAAAGUGGCAUCGGAUGGUGCGUUUAAAAUCGAGCCCCUCACCAAUACACAGUGACGACCGCCGUCACAGCGCAAGGACAUCUCAAUAUUGAGUUUGAAUCGAAGUUAUUCUGUGCAGUGCAGACGACGUAGUACUCGAUACGUCAAGAUCAUCGGAAUUGCAAGUCGUAUCCGGUGGCAAUAUCUUCCGCGAUCCAACAAAAGCACGGAUUAGCAAGACUUUGACCCUAAUAAAAGUUUAAGUUUGGAGAAAAAUAAUAGUGGACGAAAGCAAAGAGAUCAGAACGUUUUACCAGGUGUAUCCCUUGGCCCAAUAAAAUCUACGCGAUGAGUCAGCUAAAGCACACAUCAUCCUAACAGAAGCACGAUGUCGACGGAAAUAACGAAAUCAGGCGAUCUGAUAAAGAAGACCAACCAGUCAGAACAUGCCAUCGGUCAUCAUCUUCAUCAAUCUGUGAAGAUCUUGAACUGAACUGAACGCGAUGUAUAUUUGCCACCACUGACUUUUGACCAUCUUCGAAUAUCGGUUGAACAUGUCGCAGUAUUUCAGUUUGUCUACUGACUCUUCAUCGUGACAAUAUUGACGUACUGCCUAAAUGCAAGGUAUCAGCAGUCUUCGAAUACGUGCGCAAUAUGCGGGUCCGUAUCAUAGAUCGCCGAUGGCGAUCGCCUGGCGGACGAUUCGAGCAACACGAAUUCUAAUGAUCUUCUAGUGGCUAGAUUGGUCAGAUCAUACUUUUUACAUUAUAGAUACUACAUACAUAGGCAUACAACCAAAAACUGGUCUAAUCGUGGAUGCAGGAGUGUUACCGAACGGUAGCUGGCAAAAUGCGCAUGCGACGAAGAAGAAAUAUGCACGAUUUAAUCUUAGUUGAGAGAAGACCCUUAUAGACGAUUAAAGGAUGAAGUAGAAGUAACACUUGUUUCAAGGAGAACGUAGAUCGACCAGAUCGAUUGUCACUUUGUGAUCUUAUGCUGUACACGCUGUCUAAUAUGCUACUUGUAAAUAAUACAUUGAAUUAAAGAUAAUCUUU